UACCUUCGGGAUGGAUCUCAUGUCCCUAUUGGAUUUCUGUCCUCGCUCACCAACCGCCUUGCCCUAGAGAGAAGCAAGCUGGCAGAGGUAUGGUUAACCUGCUGCAGAUGCCAGUGGAGACUUGGUCUUUGCGGGAGCCAUCCCGCAACCCACGGAGCCCAUUCCACAGAGGCUUUCUGUCUGUAUCUCCAUGUGUCUGGCUGGACUGAGGCUUCUCCGGGACAGAUUCUGUGGCUGGCUGACCCUGUCUGGCCAGCACCAAGCCCCCUGGGUGGAGAAGCAUGUGUCUCCCCCUGGGCGGAGGGCCCGUGUGAGAGAAGUGGCUUGCCAUCUCCUGCACACGAGAUCUUCUGGGGCAAAGAGGAAGCUGUGUUCAGUACUGCGUGUUUGAGUGUAUGCUACAAGCAAAACAUCAGCGGGCCUGGAGAGAGCUCAUCACUUCCACUACGCGUGUUGGUGAGCCUCAGGCUUCGCUCUGUAAAAAAGACAGAGCACUUUAUGGAGGGGCCAAGUCCACCUGCCCCAUAGUGAGAAUAGAGGAUGGAUCAGGCUUGUUCCAUCGUGGUAGGGUGCACCCAGGAGAGGAGAGGGACUUGCUCCUAGAAAGUCAUGCAGAGGACUCACUCAAGGGGGCAGGGUGGGAAGAUGGCCCUGGUUGAAGCAUCAGACUAUACCUCUACCAGGCUCUCUAACCCUACCUUGCAAUCAACAUCAUCCUGGGGGCUUGCCUUUCACGGUCAUCCCUGAAUAUGCAUGUAUUAACUCAUUCUUUCAUUUACCCAUUCCACAGCCCGUCCAGGUGACUAUUAGGAUGCGCCAGGAUGAAGCCUUUCACACCGAGGAAGACUCAAAAAUCAUCUCAAAAAUUGCCCCGUUAACCAUGUCAGCAGUACCUUGAAAUAAAACAGAGAGGAAAAACUACA
Molecule: long non-coding RNA, 923 nt
Filed under: Vulpes vulpes (red fox)
Lineage: Eukaryota; Metazoa; Chordata; Mammalia; Carnivora; Canidae
Description: lncRNA (ENSVVUG00000027464.1)
Source: RNAcentral